RNAcentral lists this ribosomal RNA (429 nucleotides) under Bacteroidota bacterium. RNAcentral describes it as "Bacteroidetes bacterium partial 16S ribosomal RNA". It matches the Rfam family "Bacterial small subunit ribosomal RNA", at positions 355 to 776 of the family's 1533-position model. Lineage: Bacteria; Pseudomonadati; Bacteroidota. The record is from RNAcentral.
UAGGGAAUCUUCCGCAAUGGACGCAAGUCUGACGGAGCAACGCCGCGUGAGUGAAGAAGGAUUUCGGUUCGUAAAACUCUUUUGUUAGAGAAGAACAGCGCAUAGAGUAACUGUUAUGCGUGUGACGGUAUCUAACCAGAAAGCCACGGCUAACUACGUGCCAGCAGCCGCGGUAAUACGUAGGUGGCAAGCGUUGUCCGGAUUUAUGGGGCGUAAAGCGAGCGCAGGCGGUCAAUUAAGUCUGAUGUGAAAGCCCCCGGCUCAACCGGGGAGGGUCAUUGGAAACUGGUUGACUUGAGUGCAGAAGAGGAGGGUGGAAUUCCAUGUGUAGCGGUGAAAUGCGUAGAUAUAUGGAGGAACACCAGUGGCGAAGGCGACUCGCUGGGCUGUAACUGACGCUGAGGUUCGAAAGCGUGGGUAGCAAACAGG